GACGAACGCUGGCGGCGUGCCUAAUACAUGCAAGUAGAACGCUGAAGGAGGAGCUUGCUCUUCUGGAUGAGUUGCGAACGGGUGAGUAACGCGUAGGUAACCUGCCUGGUAGCGGGGGAUAACUAUUGGAAACGAUAGCUAAUACCGCAUAACAGUAGAUGUUGCAUGACAUUUGCUUAAAAGGUGCAAUUGCACCACUACCAGAUGGACCUGCGUUGUAUUAGCUAGUUGGUGGGGUAACGGCUCACCAAGGCGACGAUACAUAGCCGACCUGAGAGGGUGAUCGGCCACACUGGGACUGAGACACGGCCCAGACUCCUACGGGAGGCAGCAGGAGGGAAUCUUCGGCAAUGGACGGAAGUCUGACCGAGCAACGCCGCGUGAGUGAAGAAGGGUUUCGGAUCGUAAAGCUCUGUUGUAAGAGAAGAACGAGUGUGAGAGUGGAAAGUUCACACUGUGACGGUAUCUUACCAGAAAGGGACGGCUAACUACGUG
RNAcentral lists this ribosomal RNA (495 nucleotides) under uncultured bacterium. RNAcentral describes it as "partial 16S ribosomal RNA". It matches the Rfam family "Bacterial small subunit ribosomal RNA", at positions 28 to 507 of the family's 1533-position model. The record is from RNAcentral.